RNAcentral lists this long non-coding RNA (2306 nucleotides) under Haliotis rufescens (red abalone). Its description in RNAcentral is "uncharacterized LOC125372560". The record is from RNAcentral. Lineage: Eukaryota; Metazoa; Mollusca; Gastropoda; Lepetellida; Haliotidae.
ACACGCCGUGAUAUAACUGGAAUACUGUUAAAAGCGGCGUUAAACCCAACUCACUCACUCACUCUUUUCCAGUGGGGCAGGAUACGCUCAUCUUUUCGCGAACAACUGGUAUCAUCAUUAUGUGAUAGUGAAUCUUAAAGAUAUUGCCCUGAAAUCGUUGAAAUCGUACAAUGAACUCUGCUUUGAGGAGGGGAAACGUAUGAUCCAUUCAUUUAGUUUCCUCCACUAGUUUACACUUUGGGCCCAAUGGAAUCUGUUAUUCUGGUUAUUCUCUGUUGUUGAUGUUUUAUAUUCCAUAUUAUGAAACAAAAAGCAUUCCUUCACUGCAGCAUCGUAGGAGCUGUUAUUUUGUUAGUGGUAUUGGUAAAAGAUGUGAAAACCGAACAUGUAAAUUGUGAAGCAAACACCUUUAAGUAACAUAUGUAAGCCGAGUAAGAGUCUAUCUUUUACUCUUACUGCGAAUUGCAUUGGUCUUGAAUUUAUAUACCCCACCCGUCCGUAUGGUUUAGAAUAGGUCCCAAGCACUAAAUUGCAAGCUAAUGGGCAAGCUUUGUACUGUGGCUCUUUUUGCGUGUCAUCGUGUUCCGAUGGCGUGGAUCAUAUUCAAGCAAUGUUUAUUUGCGUGUCAUCGUGUUCCGAUGGCGUGGAUCAUAUUCAAGCAAUGUUUAUUUGCGUGUCAUCGUGCUCCGGUGGCGUGGAUCAUAUUCAAGCAAUGUUUAGAGUAGAUGCUGCAGGGCUAUAGCAUUUGUUGCACGAGAAAUAUGGCUUGAUUCGUUGGUUGAAUUCGAGCAUGAUGGGGAACGUAGCUACACAAACUCAUGAAGUACUGACGAUGACCAAUAGAUGAUUUGGCCCUGGUUGAACAGUGGGUGAUGAACAAGAAUCCACUAUAAAUUAACACUCACACAGAUCACCCAUUGUAACCAUCCAGUCACCCUCUAUCGGGACUUAGUCAUUCGGUACUGGAGACUACACGCCAUAUACACGAGUGCUAAAAAUCAACAGUUUUCCUUGCUUUGAACUCCUUUAGUGACUUUCCAUUACUGCGUUCAUCCCUUACUGCAAAUGGUUCUAAUGCCUCCAACAGGUUCUGUCAUACAAUCUGUUUCAUGUGUGUACCAUGUUUCAUUUUAAGCCAGAAGGAAGUUUGUACACUUGAAGCAAAAGGUGCAUGUGCAACAUGACUACAAGGUUUACAAACUGCACGUCGUAUUGCAGGGGCAGGUUUUUUUCAAGAACAACUGGCAUCAUAACUAUUUGAUAGUUAUAAACACGUGCUUAUAAUAUAGCCGAAAUAAUACAGUGGACGUUUAGAAGCAAUAUCUAAUGUGUAAUUGAGUGAGUGAGUGAGUUAAAAUUUUACAUUGCAUCGGCAGUAUUGCAGCCAUAUCGCGAUGAGAACAAGGUAGUUUCUACAAUUAAAGACCUGUCGACAAAGGACAGUAAAACAGUAAGGUACAUAUCACAGUUUAGAUAUAAAACAAACCUAAGCAAUAAUAAAACCAAGAAUUUUUUUAGCAGAUUAUUUCCUAUAAAUUAAAACCAGGCUAUAGACCACUAGCAACCAAAGCUAGACCACCUAACUGGGAAUCAUGGGGACUUACAGUGCUUUAGCUUCCUGCAUGAUUCCCGGCAGGAGUUAUGCCAUCACUUUGGUCACGAGUUGUUGUGUGAAUUGCUAACCAAUUUUAAAAAAUAUACGCACAAUCAAUACAUUAAAACACUAGUUGAUAUUAAACACUUCAACAAAGAUGGAUUUACGUGCCACUGUCAGGGGGACAAUAAUUUUAAACUACUUUAACCCCCUGUGUGGCACAGCCUUCAAUAAUCUCAGUUGUUAAUAAUAUCACACUAAAUUAAAACAAUUCAAAAUCAAAAUUUAUCAAAUAAUUCGAUUUCUUUUAAAAAAUUGAGAAUUAAACGAGCAUUUAUAUUUGUAAAAAGAUCCUUUAACGAAGUUGAAUGAUAAUAGGUAUCCCUUGUGAGUGAAAAGUCUAUACAGUUAAGCAAUAUACUCUUAUGUGUAAGGAAAGGGUAUACAUUUAUUUUGAAAUUCGGCAUGUUUUUCGGGACCUGUCAGGCCCAUAUGCAAAUGUUCUAUAUGUAAAUAUGAUAUUGAUCAAGCCUGUAAUAUCUCUUACGUAUUAAGCAUUUUAUGCUAAAUAAGAUUUCUUAUUUGUAUUGUAUUAUCAACUCUUGUUUUCUUCUUAAUCUCUUAAUCUGUUUGUCGGUAUAAUAGAUUUUAAGAAUUACAGUGACCUUUGUAUUGCUUUGCCGCCGCUUAAUAAAGUUUCUUGUAUCUUGUA